Molecule: non-coding RNA, 545 nt
Filed under: Pongo abelii (Sumatran orangutan)
Lineage: Eukaryota; Metazoa; Chordata; Mammalia; Primates; Hominidae
Source: RNAcentral
CCCAGCAGAUGACCUGUACUUCUCUGUUCUCUCCCCUACUGCAAAGAGGCAGCGAGGGCAGCAUUAGUAAGCCUGACUCAGGGGAAGUAAGUAGCCUGCAGAGAAAGGGUCCUAGGUCCGCAACCGAGGCGAGUGAACUUGUCGGACAGAUGAAGACUCUAACUGGAAGAAACGAUCAGCGCAUUCAUGGAUGCACCACCAUCCAGAAAUCUCCCAGUGGCUUCCAUACAAAAACUGAUGUUUCUAAAGAUGGAAAGAACAGGUCUAGGAGGCAGGAGAGUAUCUCCUGGCAGUGUUCUGUAGCUCAAAGAAACCUGCACUGACCUUGGGCCCGUAGCGACGCUUCAGCCUCUCCCUGAUGAGCAGACCUUUGGCCAGCAGCUUCCAGUUCCCUAGAGCCCGCUUCUCCCUUUUCUGCAGGCAAAAAUGAAGUGGGAGAAAAGUGUUAAGCACUGACAUUUUCAGGAAAAAUAUUAAGAUGGAAACUGUGAACAUAAAGACAGAUAUAUACACCACUUUAAGAUACAGCCUCUCCUUCACACCAA